GAUGAAGAACGCAGCGAAAUGCGAUAAGUAAUGUGAAUUGCAGAAUUCAGUGAAUCAUCGAAUCUUUGAACGCACAUUGCGCCCCUUGGUAUUCCGAGGGGCAUGCCUGUUCGAGCGUCAUUAUAACCCCUCAAGCUCAGCUUGGUGUUGGGGCCUGCUGCACUGGCAGCCCUUAAAAUCAGUGGCGGCGCCAUCUGGCUCUAAGCGUAGUAAUUCUUCUCGCUAUGGAGUCCUNGUGGAUGCUUGCCAUCAACCCCCAAUUUUUCUAUGGUUGACCUCGGAUCAGGUAGGGAUACCCGCUGAACUUAAGCAUAUCAAUAAGCGGAGGA
This 329-nucleotide unclassified non-coding RNA is filed under the name soil metagenome. Its description in RNAcentral is "partial contains 5.8S ribosomal RNA, internal transcribed spacer 2, and large subunit ribosomal RNA". The stretch from base 1 to 120 matches the Rfam family "5.8S ribosomal RNA", at positions 35 to 154 of the family's 154-position model. The record is from RNAcentral.